UUGCCUACCUGGCAGGGGAGACCCCAUGGUCAGGAAGGAGGUUUUCCAGGGCAAGGCUCUCAUUCAUCAUUCUUCAUGUGUGCCCAUCCCUGCAUUUUCUCCACGUCCAAGGAUUUCAGCUGCACCACCUGUGGUAGUAAGGACUGCAUGCAUACUCUUCUUC
This is a non-coding RNA of Arvicanthis niloticus (Nile rat), 163 nucleotides long. The record is from RefSeq and is a predicted model, not a curated record. NCBI's taxonomy places the organism in Eukaryota, Metazoa, Chordata, Mammalia, Rodentia, Muridae.